CACGUCAUGUUGAAAUGCCGAUUCCCGAUCGGUCGCCAAAGUUAAGCAACGUCGAGCUUGGUCAGUACCUAGAUGGGUGACCACUUGGAAAUACUAAGUGCUGUAA
This is a non-coding RNA of Acanthosepion pharaonis, 106 nucleotides long. The record is from the annotation of a GenBank genome assembly. Lineage: Eukaryota; Metazoa; Mollusca; Cephalopoda; Sepiida; Sepiidae.